RNAcentral lists this ribosomal RNA (301 nucleotides) under uncultured bacterium. RNAcentral's name for it is "partial 16S ribosomal RNA". It matches the Rfam family "Bacterial small subunit ribosomal RNA", at positions 509 to 809 of the family's 1533-position model. The record is from RNAcentral.
CAGUCGCCACGGGAAUACAGAGGGCGCAAGCGUUGUUCGGAUUUAUUGGGCGUAAAGGGUGCGUAGGCGGUUUGGCAAGUCUCGUGUGAAAUCUAUGGGCUCAACCCAUAGCCUGCACGAGAAACUACCGGGCUUGAGUAUUGGAGAGGUGAGUGGAAUUUCCGGUGUAGCGGUGAAAUGCGUAGAUAUCGGAAGGAACACCUGUGGCGAAAGCGGCUCACUGGACAAUAACUGACGCUGAUGCACGAAAGCUAGGGGAGCAAAUGGGAUUAGAUACCCGAGUAGUCCCUGUCUCUUAUAU